This 461-nucleotide ribosomal RNA is filed under the name uncultured bacterium. Its description in RNAcentral is "partial 16S ribosomal RNA". It matches the Rfam family "Bacterial small subunit ribosomal RNA", at positions 338 to 795 of the family's 1533-position model. The record is from RNAcentral.
CCUACGGGGGGCAGCAGUGAGGAAUAUUGGUCAAUGGGCGCAAGCCUGAACCAGCCAAGUCGCGUGAGGGAUGACGGUCCUAUGGAUUGUAAACCUCUUUUGUCGGGGAGCAAGGCCCGCCACGUGUGGCGGGAAGGAGAGUACCCGAAGAAAAAGCAUCGGCUAACUCCGUGCCAGCAGCCGCGGUAAUACGGAGGAUGCGAGCGUUAUCCGGAUUUAUUGGGUUUAAAGGGUGCGUAGGCGGUUGGAUAAGUUAGAGGUGAAAUGUCGGGGCUCAACCCCGAAACUGCCUCUAAUACUGUUGGACUAGAGAAUAGUUGCGGUAGGCGGAAUGUAUGGUGUAGCGGUGAAGUGCUUAGAGAUCAUACAGAACACCGAUUGCGAAGGCAGCUUACCAAACUAUAUCUGACGUUGAGGCACGAAAGCGUGGGGAGCAAACAGGAUUAGAUACCCGUGUAGUC